Long non-coding RNA from Daphnia magna, 838 nucleotides. RefSeq lists it as uncharacterized. The transcript is spliced from 2 exons. Lineage: Eukaryota; Metazoa; Arthropoda; Branchiopoda; Diplostraca; Daphniidae. The record is from RefSeq and is a predicted model, not a curated record.
AUUCACUAAAUCGAUCGUUAACGCACUUGAUUUAAAGCGACAGCGAACGUGCAGGCAUUUUUGAAACAGGUAAAGAUACAGCCCUGAAGGUAGUGUUUGCUUUAGUCUAGAUUUCAGGUGUGUGUCGUUGCUGGAUACAAUUCCCAACACAAAAAGAGUCCAACUAUGUUGACGUUGUUUCACCGACCAAUAGAAAACACGUCGCGUGUGACUACAACGGCUAUACUUCUGUGAUGCUUCAUCGUCUUGCUUCAGCCGUUUCAUCGUUCCAGACACACAUCAGUUACGUUUCUGCUAGGGGAAAACGUACGCCUUUGAUUGUUUGCAGACCUCCAUACUGCAACUGUAUGGGGCGUUUAUUUGUCGGAAAAGGUCAAUUUUAUGCGAACAUUGACCUCGUCUUUUCUUUGGAACAACAGCUACCUAAUUUUGAAGGAAUAAGAGAAAACGAGGCUCGAAUUUUUCGUUCGAAAAUGAAGCGAUUUUCUAUUCAGCUGCAAUGGUUCAAUAAUCCAAUAAAGUUUUAACAAAACACUGAUUGCCGAAUAUGUGCUUAAAAACUCAAGAAGUGGCCAUGGAUGGAACAUUGUUGCAGGAAGCCUCCUUUGGCCGGCUGGUCAAUUUUCAAAGAUAACACAGCAGUUAACUAGGAAAUUUGGGGAACAUGGAUCCACACUGAAUGUAGCUCAAGCGCAACGUUCAGCCAAGUUUGCACUUGUUUGAUGCUCCAUUUUGAUCUACCUUGUUGCAGAUAUUUGUAUUUUUACGUUUAAAUCUUUUCAAUCGCAUUUGUUUGUUUAGACAUUCGUUCCGGGCUAUGGCAAUUGAAUUUUUAAAA